Molecule: long non-coding RNA, 395 nt
Filed under: Setaria italica (foxtail millet)
Lineage: Eukaryota; Viridiplantae; Streptophyta; Magnoliopsida; Poales; Poaceae
Description: long non-coding RNA (SITA_LNC005382)
Source: RNAcentral
GACUGCAAGCAGCGGGAGAGCUCGGCGGCCGCGGCGAGCUUCUCCGGCCUGCUGCGCCAGCUCAACGAGCUCGAGCAGAGCGUCGUGACGUGGGGGCGGAAGAGCACCGGCAAGGGUUGCUCCUCGCCACCGGCGCCGCCGCCGCCUCCACCGCCGUUACCGGCGCGGCCAGUGAAGCAACGAGUCGUGCACAGCGGCGGCGGCGACAGCAAAGAAGGUCACGGCAGCUUCUCUCCGCCGCCUCCACCUCCACCGCCGUUACCGGCGCGGCCAGUGAAGCAACGAGUUGUUGUGCACAGCGGCGGCGACAGCAAAGAAGGCCACGGGAACUUCUCUCCGACACCGCCGGCUCUUUCUUUCCAGCUUGAGACGACGCAGCAGCACCGGAAGGCAAA